RNAcentral lists this ribosomal RNA (445 nucleotides) under uncultured bacterium. RNAcentral's name for it is "partial 16S ribosomal RNA". It matches the Rfam family "Bacterial small subunit ribosomal RNA", at positions 354 to 796 of the family's 1533-position model. The record is from RNAcentral.
GUGAGGAAUAUUGGUCAAUGGGCGGGAGCCUGAACCAGCCAAGUCGCGUGAAGGAAGAAGGAUCUAUGGUUCGUAAACUUCUUUUGCAGGGGAAUAAAGUGCAGGACGUGUCCUGUUUUGUAUGUACCCUGAGAAUAAGGAUCGGCUAACUCCGUGCCAGCAGCCGCGGUAAUACGGAGGAUCCGAGCGUUAUCCGGAUUUAUUGGGUUUAAAGGGUGCGUAGGUUGUUUGAUAAGUCAGCGGUGAAAGUUUGCAGCUGAACAGUAAAAAUGCCGUUGAAACUGUCGGACUUGAGUGUAAAUGAGGUAGGCGGAAUGCGUGGUGUAGCGGUGAAAUGCAUAGAUAUCACGCAGAACUCCGAUUGCGAAGGCAGCUUACUAAGCUACAACUGACACUGAAGCACGAAAGCGUGGGGAUCAAACAGGAUUAGAAACCCGGGUAGUCC